RNAcentral lists this ribosomal RNA (253 nucleotides) under uncultured bacterium. RNAcentral describes it as "partial 16S ribosomal RNA". It matches the Rfam family "Bacterial small subunit ribosomal RNA", at positions 524 to 776 of the family's 1533-position model. The record is from RNAcentral.
UACGAAGGGUGCAAGCGUUACUCGGAAUUACUGGGCGUAAAGCGUGCGUAGGUGGUUCGUUAAGUCUGAUGUGAAAGCCCCGGGCUCAACCUGGGAAUGGCAUUGGAAACUGGCGAGCUAGAGUGUGGCAGAGGGGGGUGGAAUUCCGCGUGUAGCAGUGAAAUGCGUAGAGAUGCGGAGGAACACCGAUGGCGAAGGCAGCCCCCUGGGCUGACACUGACGCUCAGGCACGAAAGCGUGGGGAGCAAACAGG